AGGGGUGUAGCUCAGCUGGUCAGAGCAACGGUCUCCAAAACCGUAGGCCGCAGGUUCGAAUCCUGCCGCCCCUGCCA
RNAcentral lists this transfer RNA (77 nucleotides) under Streptomyces virginiae. RNAcentral's name for it is "tRNA-Trp". It matches the Rfam family "tRNA". From Rfam's summary of the family: Transfer RNA (tRNA) molecules are approximately 80 nucleotides in length. Their secondary structure includes four short double-helical elements and three loops (D, anti-codon, and T loops). RNAcentral also lists the same sequence under 18 other names. The record is from RNAcentral. Lineage: Bacteria; Bacillati; Actinomycetota; Actinomycetes; Kitasatosporales; Streptomycetaceae.